Molecule: long non-coding RNA, 507 nt
Filed under: Ananas comosus (pineapple)
Lineage: Eukaryota; Viridiplantae; Streptophyta; Magnoliopsida; Poales; Bromeliaceae
Description: long non-coding RNA (ACOM_LNC024181)
Source: RNAcentral
UUUCAUUUCCGCAUUUAGUAAUUUAAAUAAUUAAAUGGUUUAGUUAAAUGAUCACUAUUACUGUUUGAAGGUUCGUGAACUGGUUUGAGUUGAUGUUUUCCUAUGAUGCUUGCAAUUGGAGAUUUAUGGAUGUUUGGUUUUGGAUUUACGUAUUUAUGCAUUGUGGUUUUCUAUCCCUCAAGAUAGUCGGUUUUCAAAAUGGAGUUUCCGAAUGGAAAAUAGUUUUAAAAGAUUUUCGAAUGGUUUUUAUGAAUGAUAAAAUAAGAGUUUAAAAAUAAAGCUUUCGAGUAGGGAGCACUUUUAAAUAGGAUGACUGUUGUACUGUGCAUCGCAUCAUCCAGCCUCUAAGGAGUGUUUAGAGGCAUCCAUCAUCUCUAAGGAUCGCUAGCUAUAUGAAAAUGUAUCACAUGAAUUGUUUGUGAAUUGCUAAAUGUAGAUUGUGGUUGUGAUCCUGAUGUUGUUGUUGGUACGCCAUGCAAAUACAAAUGAGACUCUGUCCGUGUGGCC